This 301-nucleotide ribosomal RNA is filed under the name uncultured bacterium. Its description in RNAcentral is "partial 16S ribosomal RNA". It matches the Rfam family "Bacterial small subunit ribosomal RNA", at positions 509 to 807 of the family's 1533-position model. The record is from RNAcentral.
CAGUCGCCGCGGUAAUACGAAGGGUGCAAGCGUUAAUCGGAAUUACUGGGCGUAAAGCGUGUGUAGGUGGUUGUUUAAGUCUGUCGUGAAAGCCCUGGGCUCAACCUGGGAAUUGCGAUGGAUACUGGGCGACUAGAGUGCGGUAGAGGAUAGUGGAAUUUCCGGUGUAGCAGUGAAAUGCGUAGAGAUCGGAAGGAACAUCUGUGGCGAAGGCGACUAUCUGGGCCAACACUGACACUGAGACACGAAAGCGUGGGGAGCAAACAGGAUUAGAUACCCCAGUAGUCCCUGUCUCUUAUAC